AACGAACGCUGGCGGCAUGCCUAACACAUGCAAGUCGAACGAGCCCUUCGGGUGUUUUGUCGCACGGCUUCGUAACGCGUGGGAACCUGCCCUUAUGUUCGGACUACCUCUCCGAAAGGGGUGCUAAUACCGGAUAAUGUCUACUGACCAAAGAUUUAUCGCCUUUGGAUGGGCCCGCGUUGGAUUAGCUAGUUGGUAGGGUAAAAGCCUACCAAGGCGACGAUCCAUAGCUGGUCUGAGAGGAUGAUCAGCCACACUGGGACUGAGACACGGCCCAGACUCCUACGGGAGGCAGCAGUGGGGAAUAUUGGACAAUGGGCGAAAGCCUGAUCCAGCAAUGCCGCGUGAGUGAUGAAGGCCUUAGGGUUGUAAAGCUCUUUUACCCGGGAUGAUAAUGACAGUACCGGGAGAAUAAGCUCCGGCUAACUCCGUG
This 433-nucleotide ribosomal RNA is filed under the name uncultured bacterium. Its description in RNAcentral is "partial 16S ribosomal RNA". It matches the Rfam family "Bacterial small subunit ribosomal RNA", at positions 29 to 507 of the family's 1533-position model. The record is from RNAcentral.